This 478-nucleotide ribosomal RNA is filed under the name uncultured Thelephora. RNAcentral describes it as "eukaryotic LSU rRNA". The stretch from base 167 to 321 matches the Rfam family "5.8S ribosomal RNA". The record is from RNAcentral. Lineage: Eukaryota; Fungi; Basidiomycota; Agaricomycetes; Thelephorales; Thelephoraceae.
AGGGGGCAUGUGCACGCUCUGUUCACACAUCCACUCACACCUGUGCACCCUCUGUAGUUCUAUGGUCUGGAGGAUGCACCGUCUUCCUUCUGUAGUUCUACGUCUUUACACAUACGCCCUAGUGAAGUUUUAUGGAAUGUGUGCCGCGUCUAACGCAAUACAAUACAACUUUCAGCAACGGAUCUCUUGGCUCUCGCAUCGAUGAAGAACGCAGCGAAAUGCGAUAAGUAAUGUGAAUUGCAGAAUUCAGUGAAUCAUCGAAUCUUUGAACGCACCUUGCGCCCCUUGGAUAUUCUGAGGGGCAUGCCUGUUUGAGUAUCAUGAACACCUCAACUCCUCAUGGUUUGCCGUGAUGAGCUUGGACUUUUGGAGGUUUUGCUGGCCCUGCUGUCGGCUCCUCUCAAAUGGAUCAGCUUGCCAGUGUUUGGUGGCGUCAUGGGUGUGAUAACUAUCUACGCUUGUGGCCGUCUGCCAGGUA